CGAACGGGUGAGUAACACGUGAGUAACCUGCCCCAGGGUGGGGGACAACAGUUGGAAGCGACUGCUAAUACCGCAUAAGCCCACGGAACCGCAUGGUUCAGAGGGAAAAGGAGCAAUUCGCUUUGGGAUGGACUCGCGUCCGAUUAGCUAGAUGGUGAGGUAACGGCCCACCAUGGCGACGAUCGGUAGCCGGACUGAGAGGUUGAUCGGCCACAUUGGGACUGAGACACGGCCCAG
Molecule: ribosomal RNA, 237 nt
Filed under: uncultured bacterium
Lineage: Bacteria
Description: partial 16S ribosomal RNA
Rfam family: Bacterial small subunit ribosomal RNA
Source: RNAcentral